This 547-nucleotide ribosomal RNA is filed under the name uncultured bacterium. RNAcentral's name for it is "bacterial SSU rRNA". It matches the Rfam family "Bacterial small subunit ribosomal RNA", at positions 355 to 896 of the family's 1533-position model. The record is from RNAcentral.
UGGGGAAUAUUGCGCAAUGGGGGGAACCCUGACGCAGCCAUGCCGCGUGAAUGAAGAAGGCCUUCGGGUUGUAAAGUUCUUUCGGUAUUGAGGAAGGUUGAUGUGUUAAUAGCACAUCAAAUUGACGUUAAAUACAGAAGAAGCACCGGCUAACUCCGUGCCAGCAGCCGCGGUAAUACGGAGGGUGCGAGCGUUAAUCGGAAUAACUGGGCGUAAAGGGCACGCAGGCGGUUAUUUAAGUGAGGUGUGAAAGCCCUGGGCUUAACCUGGGAAUUGCAUUUCAGACUGGGUAACUAGAGUACUUUAGGGAGGGGUAGAAUUCCACGUGUAGCGGUGAAAUGCGUAGAGAUGUGGAGGAAUACCGAAGGCGAAGGCAGCCCCUUGGGAAUGUACUGACGCUCAUGUGCGAAAGCGUGGGGAGCAAACAGGAUUAGAUACCCUGGUAGUCCACGCUGUAAACGCUGUCGAUUUGGGGGUUGGGGUUUAACUCUGGCGCCCGUAGCUAACGUGAUAAAUCGACCGCCUGGGGAGUACGGCCGCAAGGUUA